AUGCACCACUCCUGUAGAAUAGCGCUUCAAGCCUGAAUCGUUACUAGGAGCCAUGUUGAAGGAACUGUGCAUCUUGCACAUGUGCUUUGAACACCUUGGAUUAUACUAAUACUUUUUCUACUUAUUACUGCUUACAAGGGCACGCUUUAUUUUAAGGGGUACUUUUUUUGUUUCAAUAGCUGUGAACAGCAACUUGAAAUGUAUGGAAAUAGGAGCUGCCAACAAUGUGUGCCUGAGAAUGAGAAUCAAAUAGACAUUGUGACGGUUUGGAUUGGACCUCAGUAAUCUUCUACCUCCAAUCCACUCUGGGAAUUUUACUGGGCAGCAAAAUAAGAAUUCCCUACAGCGACCACAAGAGGUUGAUAGAGUUCUCUUGAAUGAAAUCCACACAUCCCUGAUGGCACCCCAGGAUCUCUACUAUACCUUGUGACGGGACUGUCUCGAAGCAGACUUUUCAAGCCAUGUCUCAGCCUGUUUCUUCCCCUAUGAAACAAAGGUUUAAUGAUCUGGUAUGAUUCUGGUUUCUCUCUUCAAGUUCAGGUUCUAACCAAAUAUGAUCUAGUUAUGUAAUAGUCACUUGAGGAUCUCUAGUCCAGAGCUUGUUCAGCUUGUCCCUAUUUAAACCUCGGUUGGAACAAGGUCCUGGACUGGAAUAGAUUGAAAGCCAGUCAGUAAAUCUGGUAAAUAAAAAGGCUUAGUUUGUCCACAUUCUUUAUAUAAAGUGAUAAGCUCUUCUGAGAUACCUACAGUAUAUCAACACCUAGCAAUACAUCUAGGAAUAUAGACUUGGACUUAGAUUGUGGAUUACUAACAAUAGUUACUUAGAGUUUUAACUGGAGCCACACAAUGACAGUAAAAAACUUGUGUGCAGAUUAAUGGGAGUUAGGUACAUUGGUGUGCAGCAUGUGUGACAGGCAUUGUCCGAUGGGGGUAGAGGUAAAGAUUUAAAUGGUAACUAUAACUGAUAACACCUCUCUCUUGAAAGAGGCCCUUCUCAGUUUUUUUCCCCCGGCAAGAACAGAUUAGGAAAACAGCAGUAGAGCGACAUUUGGAUUGUGUACACACUUGUUAAAAGUUAAUUAACCAAUACAUGGUUUCCUUUAUUGUAUGUUUGUUUUAUGUUCUAUAUUUUCUAUGCAAAUAUUGGAUUGUACAGUAUAGUAUCAAGAAUGUACUGCCUGCCAACAGGGUGUCAGUCACGUACAUUUCAAUGGAUUAUAAUCAUUAUUUCAAAACAAAUGUAUAAAAAAGUAACAUUUUAAAGUUACUGUAAAAAUGUAACACUGACAGUAUGAAAUACACAACAGCUCCAAGCUAAAGGCAAAACUAAUUUGACACAUGGCAGUGCUUUGAGUUUCACCAAAGCUACGUGAGUAUGCAGUACUAAAUGGUUGAGCUGAGAUUCUUCUGCUCUUGCAAUAUGUUAAAUCUAGGCUGAACAGCACAAAUGGCUCAAAAAAUAAACAUACUAUAUACACAGCAUCUAAUUUGCUGUAAUAGCUCCUGUGGAUGAGUUUGUACCUCAAAGCAGGGUUGCACUUCUUUGGAGAAAAUUAAAAAUGACUUAUUUUGAAAACAAGGUCAUUUAUCAAGCUUUGACAAUAGACAAAUCAAGGAGAUACUGGCUAAAACUGAGACUCUGCCUUAUGAACAAUGUGGCAGCUGGACACUGACACCCCUUUUUGGACCGUCUUUGCCACUCCGGCUAGAGAACUGAGUACAAAACGGUCAUUCACUGAAAAUGAGCUGUUGCAUAUUAGUUUAGUUUCCCUGGAGACAUAAUUUAUAGAUAUAAAAAAGAGUUUAUGCAAUUAAUGGAUGCCCAGACUUCUGUUAAUCUGUGCAAAGCCAUGCCUUGCUGCUCAAACCCAGUGGGAAUAGCGAUAGGCAGAUAGUGUUCUAAGUCCAAAGUAUUGAGAUAUUUGAUAUUCUGGUGCCAGCUCUGCAAUAGCAUCUAAUAGAAAAUAACCACUGCCAAUUACCAUCCUGUUUUGCCCCUUUGAAGUGAUGCAGGAGCGAAACCCCUGAAUUUCCCUUUUCAAUUUCUGAACGGCUUGUUCUAAUGUCUCAGGGGGAUCUCCGAUACGUGCUGCAGCCCAUGUUGGGGGAGGCUGGUAGGAAUCUCAAGUGCCUUAGACUGCCUGAGAGACAUUUAACUUUUCAUAGUUAGAUAUUAUAAAGCAAAAUACAAAAGGUACAAAACUGAAAUACUUCUGUAUUAUUGUCUUACUCAAAACAGAAAUUACUAUUUGAUAAAACAAAAUAAUAAAAAACAUAUUUUGUCUUUUUUUUGGUUUAUUAAACAAUUAGCUGACUAAUUAUGGUCAUUGUUGUUUUUUCUACUAUUUUGACAGUUUCCUUUUUUCAUAUAUUUACAUGUUACUGACAUAGAAAUCUUGCUUUUUAAAACUGGUCUGUAAUGUUGCUGUCACUUACAGUGUGAAGAAACUGUAGUAUAUUAGCACAGGUGGGUAUAUAGGAGUAUGGUUAUAUGGGUACACAUGGGUAUAUGUUAACUGCCUAACUCCCUGGAAGGGCCAAUGAGAUGGAUGGUUAAUCCUUAGAACGGUGGAACAGCUUUUUUCCCCUCUCUUUAUUAUCCAAAGACCAGCCAGACCAAAGCCUCUCUAGGUGGAAACAGUUUUCUAACUGCUCUGCAACAAAUACAUCUGUGUCAGAAGACAAUGCCAUGGUACUUUAUCUGGGGGGGGGCCAUGGGGUCACCUUUAUAUCAUCGAAAUGUUACAAGAUAAUUCCCCAAAUCUUUAAACACCAGAUUCCUACGAUUACCUUUUGAUUAAAAUUGAGGUUUUUGUCCAAGGGAAAAGGUACAGAUAAAUAAUGAAGUGUUGAGAUUAGAAUAGAACAGACAUUCUGUAUGUAGAUGGCAAAGCAUACCCUGAUCUUUGAUCCCAUAAUGCUUUCAGAAAUAAAACGAUGAGUUAUUGUGACUGAUUAAGAUGUAAAAUGACACCAAGGUCAUUCGUACAGCCCAGAAGACUUUAUGCGCAGUGGUGCAAGGUUUAAAAGGUGUUGAACUCAUGAAUGUAUAUUAUUGCAAAUAAAAAUUGAAUUACCAAAGUGCAGGACUUUUAU
Long non-coding RNA from Polyodon spathula (Mississippi paddlefish), 3096 nucleotides. RefSeq lists it as uncharacterized. Lineage: Eukaryota; Metazoa; Chordata; Actinopteri; Acipenseriformes; Polyodontidae. The transcript is spliced from 3 exons. The record is from RefSeq and is a predicted model, not a curated record.